UAUCAUUUAGAGGAAGGAGAAGUCGUAACAAGGUUUCGUAGGUGAACCUGCGGAAGGAUCAUUGUCGAAACCUACACAGCAGAACGACCCGCGAAUUGGUUACACCMCCGMMGGGGGGGGGGGGGCGGGGGGCAGAACGCGCUAAGGAAAUCGAACCCCGGUGCAGAACGCGCUAAGGAAAUCGAACCGAGAGAGCCAUGCCGGAGGCCCCGAACACGGUGCGUCUCCAGCGUCGGCAUCUUAUGAAUUAUUCAAAACAACUCUCAGCAACAGAUAUCUAGGCUCUCGCAUCGAUGAAGAACAUAGUGGAAUGUGAUACUUGGUGUGAAUUGCAAAAUCUCACAAAUCAUUGAGUUUUUGAACGCAAGUUGCGCCUGAAGCCAUUCGACUGAGGGCACAUCUGCCUGGGUGUCACACAUCGUUGCCCCCCAAACUCCGGUUCGAGCGGGGUGAAAGUUGGCCUCCCGUGCGUGCCUGCGCGUGUGGUUAACCCAAAAGCGAGUCCUCGAUGAUAAGCACCACGACAAUCGGUGGUUUUUUUUCCCUCGUUCCUCGUCGUGCGUGCCCCGUUGCCUGAACRCGCUCUUGCGACCCUCACCCGUCGCCUCAUUGGCGCUCCCAAUAUGACCCCAGGUCAGGUGGGACUACCCGCUGAGUUUAAGCAUAUCAAUAAGCGGAGGAAA
Molecule: unclassified non-coding RNA, 683 nt
Filed under: Quercus fabri
Lineage: Eukaryota; Viridiplantae; Streptophyta; Magnoliopsida; Fagales; Fagaceae
Description: partial contains small subunit ribosomal RNA, internal transcribed spacer 1, 5.8S ribosomal RNA, internal transcribed spacer 2, and large subunit ribosomal RNA
Source: RNAcentral